AGAAAAUGUAAAUUAUUAUGUGAUAUGUGCCUAAUGUUUUCUUAGCACAGUACAUAGAUCAAUGUUGUUUAAGAUGUCAACAUUGAAAAAGUAUAUAUAAAAACUUAUUUUAAAAAGAAAAUACUUUUGUGUAGUUGUUUAGAUAUUUAUAUUAGAUGAAGCUGCAUUCUUAGUGCUGCUGAGACUAUAAUGUACUUAAUUAUCAGACACAGGAAAGAGCUAUCAGGAUUUUGUUUUGUAAAAUCUGUUUUCAGAUGCAGAGAUCAACUUAUUUUUUAGUGUGCUACCUGAGAUUGAGUAGUGUAUUUGUCAGGGGUUUAGAUGCAGCAAGGUGGCUUUUGGGGAAUGAGUGGUGAAACAGGUGUGAGCAGUAAAACAUCUAUAUCUUACUUUUUUACCUUAAGUUUCCUGACUGAAAAAUGUUUGAAAAUUUAUAUCAAACUACUGAGUAUUUUUCUUCUCGGCAUUUAUGAUUUCUUUGUUUUAUAAAAUGCAUUUAAUGAAAUGUGCCUAUGACUCCUCAACUUAGAAGCCAACCAUGUUUGCAUACCAUGUUUGGUCUGACUUCAGAGGUUCUUCAGUAGAAAUGCCGUCACUUUAUUGAGGUCGUUCUGAACCCCUGUAUAUUUUUUAAACAUGUAAGAAAGAUUUAAAAUAAAUAAUAAAAUAGUAUUCUAUAUAUCAAAAUCAGACUUUGCUUCAGUUUAAUGAAACACUGAAUAGGAACAGAAGUUUGCUUGUUUGGAAAGCAAAUUCUGUUUUACACUUUUAUAGCUGGGGUUUAUUUUUGUCUUUGCCAGUGGUAUCUUGGAUAACUUGGAGCGCACCUUGUAAAUUCAGACCUGUUCAAGGAAGAUGUAAAGUUCAAGGAAACCUAGUGCUGCCAACUUUUCAGAUAUCUUUAACUAAAAGUGUCAAUGUUAUACAUAUUAUUUGGGAAUCAAAUUUUGAUUCCUUUAGAGUGUCAGUAUAGUUAGAAAAGACCCAGUAGAUGCUCUGCGUAGAAAGUCUAAAGCCAUGUGUAUUACAUUUUCC
This 1035-nucleotide long non-coding RNA is filed under the name Marmota monax (woodchuck). Lineage: Eukaryota; Metazoa; Chordata; Mammalia; Rodentia; Sciuridae. The record is from RNAcentral.